Molecule: long non-coding RNA, 190 nt
Organism: Oncorhynchus keta (chum salmon)
Lineage: Eukaryota; Metazoa; Chordata; Actinopteri; Salmoniformes; Salmonidae
Exons: 3
Source: RefSeq, a predicted model, not a curated record
UGUGCAGAAGGUGAAUGUGUAAGUAGAGAUACUGGAGUGAUAGAUGUGCAGAAGGUGAAUGUGUAAGUAGAGAUACUGGGGUGAUAGAUGUGCAGAAGGUGAAUGUGCAAGUAGAGAUACUGGAGUGAUAGAUGUGCAGAAGGUGAAUGUGCAAGUAGAGAUACUGGAGUGAUAGAUGUGCAGAAGGUGA